UGAGAAUGUCCGUUCGGCACCUCAUGACGCAUCUACUGAGUACCGGGCGGCUGUAUAUAUAUAUAUAUAUGGAUGUGUAGCCGGCGCUACUGUUUUCUGAGGAUUAGCUGUCAGAUCAUUUCUUCACGUGGCUGGGCCGCCACUGGCCCUUUAAGACACACCCCCCUUCUUUAGUCAGCUGGCCCUUCCAUAUAAGGAAAACGCGCAGCUGUAUGCAGUUCAGCAUCUCCCGCUACACUUUAAAUGCCCACUCACUCCUCACCCAAAUCAGCUGUGACUAUUACGAGUGUUCUUGUUCCAGUUAUCGUUGUCUGGCUGAUAGGCGUGUAUUCCCCCUAUACGAGGCUUCUUGACAGCCCCAGCAGAGACUGUGCAGAGAAUCACCGUUGCAGAGGUGUCCAGUGAGGUGAUAAUUGAGUGAAUGCGUUUGCAUCAGAGGUAGGAGAUUAAUUGUAUGUACACUGAAGGACAUUCAUAUAAGUCUUUAUACAAUUUCUAAUCUCCUUUCUCCAUUUAUUUUAGGAUUAGUUUGCUACCGUUUUGCCUACCUUCUAUGUUUUGCUUAUUGACUAGUUUGUUGUAUUGUGUACAAACUAGUGAUUUAAUCUUUAAAGCGACAGCACCCUCAUUGUAACGACCCACUCUGUCCUACAAGGUCUAAUACUGUCUCUGUGCUUAUACUUCUUCAGUGACGAUCCUGGCCAUACUGUGGAGUGGAGCAUGUGGUUUGCUGGGCACUUUUUGCAUGCAGAUAUGGUUGAUUUGUAGUGAGUGUUUGAUUGAAUACAGCUACAUGUGGUGAUAUUGUGGUUUUGGGGAAACCCUCAGCAGUUGGCCAGAAGAAUCACUUUUUAACUAUCAUUAUGUGUGAUAUUGUAAUUAUUAUAGUUAUUCUCUCCUUGUCAGAGCCAGCCUUCAAUCGUGGGACUUAUGUGUGUCGACUGAGAAAGCUGAAUAAGUUUUAAUCUGCAUUUUGUACUACUGAACUUUUACUUGAUUAUUUAUAUAAUAAACGUUUGUAAACAUUUGAACUUGA
Gymnodraco acuticeps is the source of this 1036-nucleotide long non-coding RNA. RefSeq lists it as uncharacterized. The record is from RefSeq and is a predicted model, not a curated record. Lineage: Eukaryota; Metazoa; Chordata; Actinopteri; Perciformes; Bathydraconidae. The transcript is spliced from 2 exons.